RNAcentral lists this unclassified non-coding RNA (524 nucleotides) under Hevea brasiliensis (rubber tree). Lineage: Eukaryota; Viridiplantae; Streptophyta; Magnoliopsida; Malpighiales; Euphorbiaceae. The record is from RNAcentral.
AAUUGAAAUACAUCUUUCUAUGCUUUUCUUACACUAUUCAAGCAAGUACUAUACAAGUAAAAAUGCACUAGUACACAUAUCCAAUGCUUAAACAACAUGGAUCUGAAUGAAAUGUUAAUUGCGCGUGGGUGCAAUAUUUUGGUUUACUACCUUCCAGACAUGAGGUUUAUCAUGCCUUGAUUUCCAUAGAAAGAUCCAACAUCCCAAUCUUCUGUUGACGAAGAGAGGGUCAUCAACGCAACCACUAUUGAUCUCAUACUUGGUCUUAUUAGGGGAUUUUCAUGGGUGCAAGCUUUGGCAAGUUGUGCCAUCUUCCGGACUGAAUCAAGGGGAUAGUCAUCUCCAAGUCUUGGGUCAACCAGUUGCCGAAGAUCUUCAUCAGGAUCUGGCUGAUUAAGUACUUCUUCAAACAAAGCAACAAGACCCUUUGAUUCAGUUACAGAACCAUUUGGCUUGACAAUCGCUUCCUUGGCUGAAAUUAGUUCAUAUAGGACAACACCAAAAGCAUAAACAUCAACUUUCGG